GACGAACGCUGGCGGCGUGCUUAAUACAUGCAAGUCAACUGAACUUAAGGUAGCAAUAUUUUAAGGGAGGUGGCGCACGGGUGAGUAACACGUAGGUAAUCUGCCUUUAGGUCUGACACAACCUACCGAAGGUAGGCUAAUAUCAGAUGAUGCAGCGGCUCGACAUCGAGACAGUUGUUAAACCUUCGGGGCCUAAAGAUGAGCCUGCGUCUGAUUAGGUAGUUGGCGGAGUAAUAGCCCACCAAGCCUGCGAUCAGUAGCUGGUCUGAGAGGAUGAUCAGCCACACUGGAACUGAGACACAGUCCAGACUCCUACGGGAGGCAGCAGUAAGGAAUAUUGCUC
Molecule: ribosomal RNA, 343 nt
Filed under: uncultured bacterium
Lineage: Bacteria
Description: bacterial SSU rRNA
Rfam family: Bacterial small subunit ribosomal RNA
Source: RNAcentral